AAUUGUUUAUCCCCUAUAUACCAUGUUUACAUCUGUGACCUCGACAUACCAUAUGUUUAGAGGCUUUGCGUUGAGACUCGUCACGUGAAUCGAGCUGAGUUUCCUCUUGCCGGCGAGACGUAGUUCAGGCAGCUCCUGAGGUGAAGCUGUUUUCUUUGGAGUGGAGAACUGUAGUUUCAGACCGAGCUG
Molecule: long non-coding RNA, 189 nt
Organism: Sinocyclocheilus grahami
Lineage: Eukaryota; Metazoa; Chordata; Actinopteri; Cypriniformes; Cyprinidae
Exons: 3
Source: RefSeq, a predicted model, not a curated record